Molecule: ribosomal RNA, 495 nt
Filed under: uncultured bacterium
Lineage: Bacteria
Description: partial 16S ribosomal RNA
Rfam family: Bacterial small subunit ribosomal RNA
Source: RNAcentral
GACGAACGCUGGCGGCGUGCCUAAUACAUGCAAGUCGAACGCUGAAGGAGGAGCUUGCUUCUCUGGAUGAGUUGCGAACGGGUGAGUAACGCGUAGGUAACCUGCCUUGUAGCGGGGGAUAACUAUUGGAAACGAUAGCUAAUACCGCAUAAUAGUAGAUGUCGCAUGACAUUUGCUUAAAAGGUGCAAUUGCAUCACUACCAGAUGGACCUGCGUUGUAUUAGCUAGUUGGUGAGGUAACGGCUCACCAAGGCAACGAUACAUAGCCGACCUGAGAGGGUGAUCGGCCACACUGGGACUGAGACCCGGCCCAGACCCCUACGGGAGGCAGCAGUAGGGAAACGUCGGCAAUGGACGGAAGUCUGACCGAGCAACGCCGCGGGAGUGAAGAAGGGUGUCGGAUCGUAAAGCUCUGUUGUAAGAGAAGAAAGAGUGUGAGAGUGGAAAGUUCACACUGUGACGGUAGCUUACCAGAAAGGGACGGCUAACUACGUG